This 21-nucleotide microRNA is filed under the name Canis lupus familiaris (dog). RNAcentral's name for it is "Cfa-Novel-24_3p (mature (guide))". Lineage: Eukaryota; Metazoa; Chordata; Mammalia; Carnivora; Canidae. The record is from RNAcentral.
AACGUUGGCAGCCCCAGAUCU